RNAcentral lists this ribosomal RNA (1205 nucleotides) under Escherichia coli. RNAcentral's name for it is "partial 23S ribosomal RNA". It matches the Rfam family "Bacterial large subunit ribosomal RNA", at positions 419 to 1629 of the family's 2925-position model. The record is from RNAcentral. Lineage: Bacteria; Pseudomonadati; Pseudomonadota; Gammaproteobacteria; Enterobacterales; Enterobacteriaceae.
GGGACACGUGGUAUCCUGUCUGAAUAUGGGGGGACCAUCCUCCAAGGCUAAAUACUCCUGACUGACCGAUAGUGAACCAGUACCGUGAGGGAAAGGCGAAAAGAACCCCGGCGAGGGGAGUGAAAAAGAACCUGAAACCGUGUACGUACAAGCAGUGGGAGCCUCUUAAUGGGGUGACUGCGUACCUUUUGUAUAAUGGGUCAGCGACUUAUAUUCUGUAGCAAGGUUAACCGAAUAGGGGAGCCGAAGGGAAACCGAGUCUUAACUGGGCGUUAAGUUGCAGGGUAUAGACCCGAAACCCGGUGAUCUAGCCAUGGGCAGGUUGAAGGUUGGGUAACACUAACUGGAGGACCGAACCGACUAAUGUUGAAAAAUUAGCGGAUGACUUGUGGCUGGGGGUGAAAGGCCAAUCAAACCGGGAGAUAGCUGGUUCUCCCCGAAAGCUAUUUAGGUAGCGCCUCGUGAAUUCAUCUCCGGGGGUAGAGCACUGUUUCGGCAAGGGGGUCAUCCCGACUUACCAACCCGAUGCAAACUGCGAAUACCGGAGAAUGUUAUCACGGGAGACACACGGCGGGUGCUAACGUCCGUCGUGAAGAGGGAAACAACCCAGACCGCCAGCUAAGGUCCCAAAGUCAUGGUUAAGUGGGAAACGAUGUGGGAAGGCCCAGACAGCCAGGAUGUUGGCUUAGAAGCAGCCAUCAUUUAAAGAAAGCGUAAUAGCUCACUGGUCGAGUCGGCCUGCGCGGAAGAUGUAACGGGGCUAAACCAUGCACCGAAGCUGCGGCAGCGACACUAUGUGUUGUUGGGUAGGGGAGCGUUCUGUAAGCCUGUGAAGGUGUACUGUGAGGUAUGCUGGAGGUAUCAGAAGUGCGAAUGCUGACAUAAGUAACGAUAAAGCGGGUGAAAAGCCCGCUCGCCGGAAGACCAAGGGUUCCUGUCCAACGUUAAUCGGGGCAGGGUGAGUCGACCCCUAAGGCGAGGCCGAAAGGCGUAGUCGAUGGGAAACAGGUUAAUAUUCCUGUACUUGGUGUUACUGCGAAGGGGGGACGGAGAAGGCUAUGUUGGCCGGGCGACGGUUGUCCCGGUUUAAGCGUGUAGGCUGGUUUUCCAGGCAAAUCCGGAAAAUCAAGGCUGAGGCGUGAUGACGAGGCACUACGGUGCUGAAGCGACAAAUGCCCUGCUUCCAGGAAAAGCCUCUAAGCAUC